This 1268-nucleotide ribosomal RNA is filed under the name Escherichia coli. Its description in RNAcentral is "partial 23S ribosomal RNA". It matches the Rfam family "Bacterial large subunit ribosomal RNA", at positions 474 to 1744 of the family's 2925-position model. Lineage: Bacteria; Pseudomonadati; Pseudomonadota; Gammaproteobacteria; Enterobacterales; Enterobacteriaceae. The record is from RNAcentral.
UCCUGACUGACCGAUAGUGAACCAGUACCGUGAGGGAAAGGCGAAAAGAACCCCGGCGAGGGGAGUGAAAAAGAACCUGAAACCGUGUACGUACAAGCAGUGGGAGCACGCUUAGGCGUGUGACUGCGUACCUUUUGUAUAAUGGGUCAGCGACUUAUAUUCUGUAGCAAGGUUAACCGAAUAGGGGAGCCGAAGGGAAACCGAGUCUUAACUGGGCGUUAAGUUGCAGGGUAUAGACCCGAAACCCGGUGAUCUAGCCAUGGGCAGGUUGAAGGUUGGGUAACACUAACUGGAGGACCGAACCGACUAAUGUUGAAAAAUUAGCGGAUGACUUGUGGCUGGGGGUGAAAGGCCAAUCAAACCGGGAGAUAGCUGGUUCUCCCCGAAAGCUAUUUAGGUAGCGCCUCGUGAAUUCAUCUCCGGGGGUAGAGCACUGUUUCGGCAAGGGGGUCAUCCCGACUUACCAACCCGAUGCAAACUGCGAAUACCGGAGAAUGUUAUCACGGGAGACACACGGCGGGUGCUAACGUCCGUCGUGAAGAGGGAAACAACCCAGACCGCCAGCUAAGGUCCCAAAGUCAUGGUUAAGUGGGAAACGAUGUGGGAAGGCCCAGACAGCCAGGAUGUUGGCUUAGAAGCAGCCAUCAUUUAAAGAAAGCGUAAUAGCUCACUGGUCGAGUCGGCCUGCGCGGAAGAUGUAACGGGGCUAAACCAUGCACCGAAGCUGCGGCAGCGACGCUUAUGCGUUGUUGGGUAGGGGAGCGUUCUGUAAGCCUGCGAAGGUGUGCUGUGAGGCAUGCUGGAGGUAUCAGAAGUGCGAAUGCUGACAUAAGUAACGAUAAAGCGGGUGAAAAGCCCGCUCGCCGGAAGACCAAGGGUUCCUGUCCAACGUUAAUCGGGGCAGGGUGAGUCGACCCCUAAGGCGAGGCCGAAAGGCGUAGUCGAUGGGAAACAGGUUAAUAUUCCUGUACUUGGUGUUACUGCGAAGGGGGGACGGAGAAGGCUAUGUUGGCCGGGCGACGGUUGUCCCGGUUUAAGCGUGUAGGCUGGUUUUCCAGGCAAAUCCGGAAAAUCAAGGCUGAGGCGUGAUGACGAGGCACUACGGUGCUGAAGCAACAAAUGCCCUGCUUCCAGGAAAAGCCUCUAAGCAUCAGGUAACAUCAAAUCGUACCCCAAACCGACACAGGUGGUCAGGUAGAGAAUACCAAGGCGCUUGAGAGAACUCGGGUGAAGGAACUAGGCAAAAUGGUGCCGUAACUUCGGGAGAA